RNAcentral lists this ribosomal RNA (289 nucleotides) under uncultured bacterium. RNAcentral's name for it is "partial 16S ribosomal RNA". It matches the Rfam family "Bacterial small subunit ribosomal RNA", at positions 773 to 1060 of the family's 1533-position model. The record is from RNAcentral.
GUGGAUUAGAUACCCUGGUAGUCCUAGCUGUAAACGAUGGAUACUAGGUGUUGCGCGUAUCGACCCGUGCAGUGCCGUAGCUAACGCGUUAAGUAUCCCGCCUGGGGAGUACGCACGCAAGUGUGAAACUCAAAGGAAUUGACGGGGGCCCGCACAAGCGGUGGAGUAUGUGGUUUAAUUCGAUGCAACGCGAAGAACCUUACCAGGGCUUGACAUGUCGCGAAUCCUCUUGAAAGGGGGGAGUGCCUACGGGAGCGCGAACACAGGUGGUGCACGGUUGUCGUCAACU